GACGAGCUGUAUACAAUGAGACUGGUUGUUACUUUUGCACAAAAUAAAUAAAUUAAGUAAAUAAAGAAAGGUGGGGUAAGCUUGUUCUUGAAGUCGGGCCUUGUGUAGGUCUCGCUCCUCAAAGGGAUACUUAAGUGACCAAUAGCGGUCGGCUGGACAAGCUCCGACCAAUAGCGGUCGGACGGACGAGCUCUGAAGCGGUGGACUGGACUAGCGCUAAUCAAUAG
This 227-nucleotide unclassified non-coding RNA is filed under the name Hevea brasiliensis (rubber tree). Lineage: Eukaryota; Viridiplantae; Streptophyta; Magnoliopsida; Malpighiales; Euphorbiaceae. The record is from RNAcentral.